UACGUAGGUCCCGAGCGUUGUCCGGAUUUAUUGGGCGUAAAGCGAGCGCAGGCGGUUUCAUAAGUCUGAAGUUAAAGGCAGUGGCUUAACCAUUGUACGCUUUGGAAACUGUGAGACUUGAGUGCAGAAGGGGAGAGUGGAAUUCCAUGUGUAGCGGUGAAAUGCGUAGAUAUAUGGAGGAACACCGGUGGCGAAAGCGGCUCUCUGGCUUGUAACUGACGCUGAGGCUCGAAAGCGUGGGGAGCAAACAGG
RNAcentral lists this ribosomal RNA (252 nucleotides) under uncultured bacterium. RNAcentral's name for it is "partial 16S ribosomal RNA". It matches the Rfam family "Bacterial small subunit ribosomal RNA", at positions 524 to 776 of the family's 1533-position model. The record is from RNAcentral.